UGAGACGCUGUCCCUGCCCUCCAGGCUUCUUCCAGGUGCUCCUGGCGGCCGGAGCUGUUGACGGAGAGGCUAGAAGCUGCCUGGCGGGGAGUGGAGACCAGAGGAGCUUCUGAGCAGAGAAAGGAGCUAUUAUCUGCACAACUGGGAGCCCGGCGCUCGGCUCUCUCAUCCAGAAUGAGACUUGCAGGGGUGCCUCUCUGGUGCUCCCUGGCAGCCAGGGUUGGUGCCUCCUUUGAUGAACUGGGAGCUUGUUCCAAACGGAGGGAGAGAGAGUUGAAAAUUGCCGUGGAGCAGCGUGGAGGGAAAGAUGCGGGUACGCACGUGAAAGUCUCGACGGAUGUGAUAAUUAUUUACGGUUUCUGGCAUUGAGUGUUUUUGUUACCCAGUUAAAUAGACUCUAAAUACCACAUUAAAAUCUUGAAAAGUGCCUGGCAGAUUAAUAAAUCAUAUUAACGGCUCUGGCAUCCUGCAC
This is a long non-coding RNA of Equus caballus (horse), 472 nucleotides long. NCBI's taxonomy places the organism in Eukaryota, Metazoa, Chordata, Mammalia, Perissodactyla, Equidae. The record is from Ensembl.